UACGAAGGGGGGCUAGCGUUGUUCGGAUUUACUGGGCGUAAAGCGCACGUAGGCGGUUUGUUAAGUCAGGGGUGAAAUCCCGGAGCUCAACUCCGGAACUGCCUUUGAUACUGGCAGCUAGAGUCCGGAAGAGGUAAGUGGAACUCCUAGUGUAGAGGUGGAAUUCGUAGAUAUUAGGAAGAACACCAGUGGCGAAGGCGGCUUACUGGUCCGGAACUGACGCUGAGGUGCGAAAGCGUGGGGAGCAAACAGG
This 253-nucleotide ribosomal RNA is filed under the name uncultured bacterium. Its description in RNAcentral is "partial 16S ribosomal RNA". It matches the Rfam family "Bacterial small subunit ribosomal RNA", at positions 524 to 776 of the family's 1533-position model. The record is from RNAcentral.